This 2655-nucleotide long non-coding RNA is filed under the name Equus asinus (donkey). Its description in RNAcentral is "lncRNA (ENSEASG00005027938.1)". Lineage: Eukaryota; Metazoa; Chordata; Mammalia; Perissodactyla; Equidae. The record is from RNAcentral.
UCCCUCUCCUUUCUUUACACAGCUCCUAACUGACGGGCUGAACUGUUACAUUGGCCCAACCCAGCUCCAAGCUAACAUUUGCAUUUUAAAAAAGGACUACUGCUAAACUGCAUACAUUUUCACUUUAUUUAGUAAAUAGUGAGCGUAUCUAGUGUGAGAAACACUGAUGCAAUUUCCUGGGAGAAAAAGGGUAGGGGACCCAACAAUGAACAGCCCCCAGUUUUCUGCCCUUAGUGGUGUUUGCUGUCUCUUGGGGAAGACAGACAGACAAGCACACCAACCGCACAAAGAAGGAAGAGGCCUAGAAGGAGGAAGUGUUUUCUGUGGGCUGAGAAUGGAAAUGCUUGUCCGAGGUUCUCCGUGGGAACUUGGAAAUGUGUUGCUGCUUUUAAAUCCAAACCCAGAAACUUCUGAAAUUUUUUCUGCACUCAGUGGAAAAUCACUCCCUUGUAUCAGAAAUAUCAAGAAGUUUAAUGAAGGCAAAGAUACAUCCCCUCUAGAGAGCCCAGAAAAGCUGAAUGGCUGGCUGCUCUGCACUCACCUCAACUGGGGACGCCUCAUGCCACCUCUGUAUAUCAGGUCUGCUCACCUGGGCUUUGCUGCCACCUAGGAUCUUCUGCAGUAAUUAUCUUGACCAAAAGCCACAAUGAGCUCCACAUUAGACCUGCAGGAUCUGACAGGUGGAAUGAACCCCUCCCAGCUCAUCUAGAUCUCUGCUCUAACUUUGAAGUGAGUGAACAAGUGGACGCGGAACCGUAUACUCUGGAGAAGGGUAUAAGGAGGAGAAAAAAAGGAUGAGCCCCAGCGAAGGCCUUCAAUUGAAAGGCAGGAGAAGGAUUCACCAUGGGGAACAAGAGGAGUAGUCAGAAGGCAAACCAUCAGAAACAGAAUCAUGCAGGGGAGGAGAAAUCUAAGACGGUAGGCGUGUCAAAAGUGCCAAAUAUUAUGGAGAGGUUAUAAAGAACAAGAAUGAAGAAAAAGUCAUUGGGCAAUUAAAAAAAAUAAGACAAAAUGUCUAUUACUAACCUAGACCAGCAGCAUAUUUUGGUUGGGCAAGAGUUGGGGAUCCACUGCAGCUUGGAAGAGUAGAUAACACCAAUCCCCAGCCUCGCACCAUUGGCAUGCUCCCUGAGCCCACUCCUCACAGCAUCCACUCACAUUAGUGCCUUGAAUUCUGCAGCAAACAAAGGUGAGAAGUGCCCCCUCAUAUCUAUUUGCAUAUACCAAUUUGCAUUUAAAACAAGAACUUUACCAGGUGUUAAAAGGGACUGGAAUUCUGAUCCUCAUUUAGAUUCAAGGAUGUUAGCAGCUAUCAAGCAUCCUCCUGGAACACAGUAGACCCUAAAAUGCUCAGUGAAUGCAACUCACAUAAAUAACCAAAUGCUUGACUUCAGAGAAGCAUUUAGAAUAAAUUGAUAGGAAAUCCACAGCAAAAACUAGAUAGCAAUGUGAGAACCCUCAAAAUGUCACUUCUCAUCUCUUCCUUGCAACUACUAUUGACCCUACAUGUCUCAGAUCACCAGACUAGGUCAGGAUCGGGGGGUUAGAAAAGUGAAGAGCUCACACCGCAUCAGCUCUGGCUUUAAAUGCCAAGAAUAGUGAUAGGGAUGUCACUAUCAAAGCCUCUUGAGACACUGACGCCACAGACAUUUGCACACCUGGCCUGGCCUCUGCCAGGCAAGAGCAAAUUUGCCUCUGCUCUUGACACCUACAUCUCAGACACUUUUAGUAGGCACUAGACACACAUCAGAGAACAAGGCCAGUCCUUGCUCUCCAGGAGUUUAUAGUCUAAAGCAGAAGGUUCAUAGAUGAACUUCAGGGUGUUCUGGGAAAUUCCUUAAGUUAUGUGCAAAAGAGUGCGUCUAUGUAGAUUGAGAGGGAGGUGGGAAGAGUCAAAUUCUCAAAUGACUUUGUGACUCAAAAAAGGUUAAGAAUCACUGACUUGGGACCAUCCAUUUCCCUCAUUUCUAAGUUGUCGCCAAGUGCCCCAAGCACUUAGAGCACCUCUGCAGAACCUUUGCUGUGUUGGUGACUUGCCUUCCUCUCCAGCUCAUGGCAGACUCCUGGUGGCAGGGGAGGGAAGCACACCUCAUGGUUGCCAUUGUCCCUACUUCCAGGGUCUCUGUCCAGGAAGGAUGAUUCAAUCCAGGGAUUGGCUACCCCUGCUCUUUUGGAUGACUUUGAGCUCAUCUGGUUGGCAGAUCACUGCCUACCCCCUGACAGGCAGAAUGACUAGAGAGGAAUGUUUAUCUUUCCAAAGUACUAUCUGCUUCCCAAGACUUCUCCAGACUAAACAUCCACUGACUAAGAUGGAAAAACACUUUUCUUUUACAAAAAGUCAAAGAGAGCUCAGCAAGUAGUUCAGACUAGGAGGAAGAGGGCAAAGGGAGUGAAUGCGCUGAGCUGAGCAUUUCUGGUCUAGCAGUCCUAUUUCUCAUGCAAAUUCAUAAUGUCAUUCUGAAAUGUCCAUCAUUCAAGUACAUUUUUGUUAGUGUGACUCCCUCUCAAAAUGUGACCACCCAACCCCAGAGACAACUUGCCCCUUCAAAGGGGAUGAACAGAUCCUCCUGGCCUCCCCUUGUAUGACUCCAUCAUUCUCCUCCUAGAUGCUUCACUAUUCUGCUGAUUUCUGUAAGACAUAAAAUACAUUUAGAG